Long non-coding RNA from Dermochelys coriacea (leatherback sea turtle), 1884 nucleotides. RefSeq lists it as uncharacterized. Lineage: Eukaryota; Metazoa; Chordata; Testudines; Dermochelyidae. The transcript is spliced from 2 exons. The record is from RefSeq and is a predicted model, not a curated record.
UUUAUCAGUACUUCAGAGCCACUAAAUGCUUAUUUCAAACAUCAAAGCAGGACACCCAGCCCCUCCAGUGUAACUGACCCUACAGCUGGUAAAGAACUUGCACAGUUUCUCUUGAGAGAGAGCAACAAGACAAUCUGAAUUCUUCCAAUUGUCUAAUUUAAGUACAGAGUUUCAGUAGCUGUUAAGAAGCCAGAAGCGCAUGAAAACUGCAACAGUUAUCACUUAAAGUGAAGCCUUUCUCCCCCGAGAACUGAAAAUAAGAGUGAACCUAAGUCAAGACAGACAUUUGACAAAGCCAAUAUCAAGAUUAGUGGCAGAUGAAAGUCUCAACCAACAGAAAUAGCUUUUACCUUGGUCAAGUAUCUCCUUCAUGACUGAAUAAAGUAGGGCAUGGCAAAGUCCAUGAUGUUGUGCCUCCAUGCAGUUUCCAAGACAACAUCUGGCCUUAGAAGGUCAUAACAGGUGAAGAGACAAGCUCCAAAACAUUCUCUCUUUUCUUCCUGCAAGAACCACUGCAGCAGUUCUUCUGCUAACUCUGUAUCUUUGGAUUCUGAAGCAUAUUGCAUUGCAUCCUACAAAUGGACAAGAGAAUCUCUCAUUAAAAAGAGCCACAUCUAUGCUGGAGAAGGAACUGUGCUAGGCAUACCAAGUUUGGUCAAAGCAGUAAUGAGCCAUUCAAAAAAAAAAAAAAACAAAAAACAAAAAAACAAAAAACACACCACUAUCUUGGGGAUUUAGGCUUCCAAGAUGCUUUUCAAGUACAUUAUAGCACUACCACCAGAGGGGAUAGGAUCACUGAUACUAGUAGUAAAGUAAGCCAUGUGAACAUAGACUGGAAUAUAGAACAUUAAAGCUAUGCAGACCUCUUACCUUGUAUAGUCUGUCUUUCUUGCAAAGUUCUACACUCUGUUUCCAGCGAUUGUUGCCUUUAAAGAGAUAUGCAGCAAUUCUUCUGAACUCAAUCAGCUCGUGCUUCUCCAAACGCUGAGCAAGGGAGAUGUUGUCAAAGUUGUCAUAGGCAUCUAUAGAUGUCCUAAGAGCCUGAAUUGGAAUAGAAUGGAGUCAUUCAAACCUCAGUGCUUGUGUUCCAGAAAGGGUCAAUGAAUUUAUGUUUUAGAUACCACUUGAGCUGUUUGCAGAGUUCCUUUGCUCAAACUUUUGAGUCUAUUUUCAGAUCUUAAGUAAUCCUGCAGUUUGUUACUGCAGUUAAUGGAUGCAUAGUUAUGCCAAUUAGCUAUCUGUACCAAUUAGAAUGCAUAAAAGAAAGGUGUUUUAAACAAGGGCACUUUUUUUAUUUUUUUUUAAAAAAGCCUACCUGAUAGUCUUCUAUAUAAGAAGAGAUUAUUCAGAGACUCAUUCACUGAUUUGUUGUUGUGGUUUUGAACUGAGCGCAGGUAUGGUUUAACAAGUGGAAGCUGUUUAGCCUUUAAGAGAAGAAGUUUUGACAUGAGAAUCCUGAACAUAAUAUAGCACACCAUAAGCUUAUAGAUGUUUGUCGCAGAUACAUUCACUGUCAUUUACUCAAUUGGAGUCAAAUGCUUCAUCUCCACUUGUAAAGUCUUUCAUAAUUAUAGGAAAAUAAAAACCAAUUACCUUACUGAAGAAGUUUACAGCACGAGUAUGAUCCAGCCGAGGAGACAGCACCAUCAACAGAUCAUUGAGCAACAGGGGUUUAAAUUCCAAAUAAAACUGGAUUGCUUUAUAAUACAGCUCCACAUUGGCCACCUAGAGACAGCAUAGAGGAUCAUUUAAUAGAUCUUUACAUACUUGUUCCAUGGUGUUUAUGUAUUUCUGCAUGGUUUUUUCUCGUUUGUUACCUCUAAUGAAAGAGAGGCCCUUAAGUUACCUGAAGCAUGCCUGCCAGCAUUAAGAAAUUUUGCUUUA